Molecule: ribosomal RNA, 292 nt
Filed under: uncultured bacterium
Lineage: Bacteria
Description: partial 16S ribosomal RNA
Rfam family: Bacterial small subunit ribosomal RNA
Source: RNAcentral
GUGUCAGCCGCCGCGGUAAAACGUAGGUGGCGAGCGUUAUCCGGAUUGACUGGGCGUAAAGGGUGUGCAGGCGGGGUGUCAAGUGGUGUGUGAAAUCGCCGGGCUCAACCGGGCGAGGUCAGGCCAGACUGAUGCUCUAGAGUGCGGGAGAGGGGCGUGGAAUUCCGGGUGUAGUGGUGAAAUGCGUAGAGAUCCGGAGGAACCCCAGAGGCGAAGGCGGCGCCCUGGCCCGACACUGACGCUGAGACACGACAGCAUGGGGAGCGAACGGGAUUAGAAACCCGCGUAGUCC